Molecule: unclassified non-coding RNA, 316 nt
Filed under: uncultured fungus
Lineage: Eukaryota; Fungi
Description: sequence contains ITS2
Source: RNAcentral
AACGCACCUUGCGCCCCUUGGCAUUCCGAGGGGCAUGCCCGUUUGAGUGCCGUGAUCAUUCUCGACUCCCAAGCUUUCGUUUGGGGCGUUGGACUUGGACGCUGCCGGUCGCGCCGGCUCGUCUCAAAUGCAUCAGUGGGUUCUCGACUCCCGACCGCACUGGCGUGAUGGGUCCCAAGGACGAAACGUCGGUUCGGUCCGGUCGCGACUCGCUCAAAACCCGUCCUCACCGGGACAACCGACCCGGUCGGUUUGGGCUCUUUGGAGUCCCGUGGUGUAUGGCCUCAAAUCGGGUAGGACUACCCGCUGAACUUAA